GAGUUUGAUCCUGGCUCAGAACGAACGCUGGCGGCGUGCUUAACACAUGCAAGUCAGGGAGAAAGUCUCUUCGGGGAUGAUUAAACCGGCGCACGGGUGAGUAACACGUGAGUGACCUGCCUUUUAGACUGGAACAACUUACCGAAAGGUGAGCUAAUGCCGGAUGAGUUAUAUAAGUGCAUGUUUAUAUAGGAAAAGUUGGGGAGACCUGACGCUGAAAGAUGGACUCGCGUCCCAUUAGCUAGUUGGUAGGGUAAUGGCCUACCAAGGCGACGAUGGGUAGCCGGCCUGAGAGGGUGGCCGGCCACACUGGGACUGAGACACGGCCCAGACUCCUACGGGAGGCAGCAGUGGGGAAUUUUGCGCAAUGCUCGUAAGAGUGACGCAGCGACGCCGCGUGAAUGACGAAGGCCUACGGGUCGUAAAGUUCUUUCGACAGGGAAGAAAAUGCCUAUAAGUAACUGUGUAUGUAUUGACGGUACCUGUAUAAGCAGCCCCGGCUAACUCCGUGCCAGCAGCCGCGGUAAUACGGAGGGGGCGAGCGUUGUUCGGAGUGACUGGGCGUAAAGAGCACGU
This 576-nucleotide ribosomal RNA is filed under the name uncultured bacterium. RNAcentral's name for it is "bacterial SSU rRNA". It matches the Rfam family "Bacterial small subunit ribosomal RNA", at positions 9 to 572 of the family's 1533-position model. The record is from RNAcentral.